This 25-nucleotide non-coding RNA is filed under the name Rattus norvegicus (Norway rat). Lineage: Eukaryota; Metazoa; Chordata; Mammalia; Rodentia; Muridae. The record is from RNAcentral.
UGCACUGAGGCAGGCCACUAGCUUG